This 389-nucleotide ribosomal RNA is filed under the name Micrococcus sp. Its description in RNAcentral is "bacterial SSU rRNA". It matches the Rfam family "Bacterial small subunit ribosomal RNA", at positions 385 to 786 of the family's 1533-position model. Lineage: Bacteria; Bacillati; Actinomycetota; Actinomycetes; Micrococcales; Micrococcaceae. The record is from RNAcentral.
GAUGCAGCGACGCCGCGUGAGGGAUGACGGCCUUCGGGUUGUAAACCUCUUUCAGUAAGGAAGAAGCGAAAGUGACGGUACUUGCAGAAGAAGCGCCGGCUAACUACGUGCCAGCAGCCGCGGUAAUACGUAGGGCGCGAGCGUUAUCCGGAAUUAUUGGGCGUAAAGAGCUCGUAGGCGGUUUGUCGCGUCUGCCGUGAAAGUCCGGGGCUUAACUCCGGAUCUGCGGUGGGUACGGGCAGGCUAGAGUGCAGUAGGGGAGACUGGAAUUCCUGGUGUAGCGGUGAAAUGCGCAGAUAUCAGGAGGAACACCGAUGGCGAAGGCAGGUCUCUGGGCUGUAACUGACGCUGAGGAGCGAAAGCAUGGGUAGCGAACAGGAUUAGAUACC